Molecule: ribosomal RNA, 520 nt
Filed under: uncultured Paraglomus
Lineage: Eukaryota; Fungi; Glomeromycota; Glomeromycetes; Paraglomerales; Paraglomeraceae
Description: SSU rRNA
Rfam family: Eukaryotic small subunit ribosomal RNA
Source: RNAcentral
AGCAGCCGCGGUAAUUCCAGCUCCAAUAGCGUAUAUUAAAGUUGUUGCAGUUAAAAAGCUCGUAGUUGAAUUUCAGGCCUGGCUGGACGGUCCGCCCUUCGGGUGAGUACUGUCUGUGGUCGGGUCCUACCUUCUGGCGAAGCGUCAUGGCCUUAACCGGCCGUGGCGGGGAACCAGGACUUUUACUGUGAAAAAAUUAGAGUGUUCAAAGCAGGCAAAUCGCUUGGAUACAUUAGCAUGGAAUAAUGGAAUAGGACGAUGGUUCUAUUUGUUGGUUUCUAGGACCGUUGUAAUGAUUAAUAGGGAUAGUUGGGGGCAUUAGUAUUCAACUGUCAGAGGUGAAAUUCUUGGAUUUAUUGAAGACUAACUACUGCGAAAGCAUUUGCCAAGGAUGUUUUCAUUAAUCAAGAACGAAAGUUAGGGGAUCGAAGACGAUCAGAUACCGUCGUAGUCUUAACCAUAAACUAUGCCGACUAGGAAUCGGGCGAUGUUGACAAAAUGACGCGCUCGGCACCUCAUG